GAUGAACGCUGACAGAAUGCUUAACACAUGCAAGUCAACUUGAACUUCGGUUUGGGUGGCGGACGGGUGAGUAACGCGUAAAGAACUUGCCUCACAGCUAGGGACAACAUUUGGAAACGAAUGCUAAUACCUGAUAUUAUGAUUUUAGGGCAUCCUAGAAUUAUGAAAGCUAUAUGCGCUGUGAGAGAGCUUUGCGUCCCAUUAGCUAGUUGGAGAGGUAGCGGCUCACCAAGGCGAUGAUGGGUAGCCGGCCUGAGAGGGUGAACGGCCACAAGGGGACUGAGACACGGCCCUUACUCCUACGGGAGGCAGCAGUGGGGAAUAUUAGACAAUGGACCAAGAGUCUGAUCCAGCAAUUCUGCGUGCACGAUGAAGUUUUUCGGAAUGUAAAGUGCUUUCAGUUGGGAAGAAAAAAAUGACGGUACCAACAGAAGAAGUGACGGCUAAAUACGUG
RNAcentral lists this ribosomal RNA (454 nucleotides) under uncultured bacterium. RNAcentral's name for it is "partial 16S ribosomal RNA". It matches the Rfam family "Bacterial small subunit ribosomal RNA", at positions 28 to 507 of the family's 1533-position model. The record is from RNAcentral.